RNAcentral lists this ribosomal RNA (253 nucleotides) under uncultured bacterium. RNAcentral's name for it is "partial 16S ribosomal RNA". It matches the Rfam family "Bacterial small subunit ribosomal RNA", at positions 524 to 776 of the family's 1533-position model. The record is from RNAcentral.
CACGUAGGGCGCGAGCGUUGUCCGGAAUUAUUGGGCGUAAAGAGCUCGUAGGCGGCCUGUUGCGUCCGCUGUGAAAGCCCGGGGCUUAACCCCGGGUCGGCAGUGGAUACGGGCAGGCUAGAGGUAGGUAGGGGAGAAUGGAAUUCCCGGUGUAGCGGUGAAAUGCGCAGAUAUCGGGAGGAACACCGGUGGCGAAGGCGGUUCUCUGGGCCGUAACUGACGCUGAGGAGCGAAAGCGUGGGGAGCGAACAGG